UACGGAGGGUGCGAGCGUUGUCCGGAGUUACUGGGCGUAAAGAGUGCGUAGGCGGACGUGUAAGUGGGUGGUGAAAGCGCCCGGCUAAACCGGGCGAGGUCCAUUCAGACUGCAGGUCUAGAGGCGGAUAGAGGGGUGCGGAAUUCCGGGUGUAGCGGUGAAAUGUGUAGAGAUCCGGAGGAACACCAGUGGUGCAGACGGCGCCCUGGGUCCGAACUGACGCUGAAGCACGAAAGCGUGGGGAGCGAACGGG
RNAcentral lists this ribosomal RNA (253 nucleotides) under uncultured bacterium. RNAcentral's name for it is "partial 16S ribosomal RNA". It matches the Rfam family "Bacterial small subunit ribosomal RNA", at positions 524 to 776 of the family's 1533-position model. The record is from RNAcentral.